UUAUUUAUUAUCUAUAUAGUAUUACCAAUACAAUAUAAGAAGAUAUGCAGGAAGCAUUCAGUGGGAGGUUUAACAGCAGGUGCAUUUAAAGCAGCAGCUUUGGGCUGUGAAGCAGUAAAAUAUGGUCUGUACAAUGAUGCUGCAGAGUUGAGGUGUGUUCUUUGGCUUUGGUAGUGUUUGUGAGAGUGGAAGUGUUUGAGUUUGUGAGUGUGUGCAUGCACAAGAAAUAGUGUGUGUCUAGUGGUAAACUGGGUCGUGAACACUGGUAGUGUUGUAAGAUCUAAUUUGGAUAUAACAGAGCCACAGGGAAGCAGUUACACUAACAGGGAAAGGGGUGUGAGCAAAAGGAAGGUAAAAGCAAGUAAUUAAUGGUGCUGACAAUUAAAUGUAGUAUUUUAAAUUUGAAAAUUACUAAAUGUUAGGGAUUUAAAGCACAUUCGACAGUAAAGAUCAUGAUUGAGUAUAACUGAAAAUCAGGACAACUGAAGGAGGUAAGAAAACAAAAAUUGGGCUGAAAUCUGUGCGCAGACAAAAUUUAAAUAUGAAAUAAUUAACUUCCAAGGGGAAAUUAGAGCUUAAGUCAAGUGUGAUAAAUGUAUUUUGACCAUGUAUUUUAACUUGCAGGAAGGAAACACGGCGGAAGCAUUGAAAGACUUCCAAAAUGAAUAGAGAACCUUAAACAUGAUUAUAACGAAUACAAAAGUCUCGUUUCAGAUCUGUUUACACAGGGGGAGAAGGAGGACGUGGUGCAAAGGUGGACCAGUCCAGACACAGAGUGAGGGCUCCUCCGCCAUUACGCACGAAAGGGGAACAAGCAUGGCUGGAUUGAGCCUUUCCAGGUGACUGAGAGAACAACGUACGCAUAUCAACUGAUAAGCGAGGGUUCGACAGCUGUGCAGCAACAGAGAUCGCUCACAGAGCAGCAGGAGGAGACGAGACAGCAGCAGCUGAAUCGUCUGACCCCGCAGCAGCAGCAGCAGGAAGGAGGGGCAGCAGAGCCCCCGCAGCACGGGCCUGGCCUGGCCACAGCAGAGAAAAGAGUUUCUCAGAGCACAGCAGCAGCACACAGCCUGGCUGUGACCGAGGAGCAGAAGUGAGGGAGUGACUCAUUCAACAACUGUUCGAUUGCGUCAAAGUACACUACAUACAAGACUCUUAAACACAUCUCAUUAAAGAACACACAUAGUCUUAUCACACACCAACUCAUACUUUUCAUUCACUGAUACUGCAGACAUCAAGAGCCAGAAUAAAGCUCUUCGUACGUGGGGCUGAGGUAGUCUACCUUCAGAACCCUGAAACAAGAAGAAAGAAGAAAAGAACAACACGCAUUGCAACUUUAACACUUACACAUAUAGGGGUAUAAACUGUGAUUUGCUAAAUUAGGGGGGGAACACAUUAUUUUU
This is a long non-coding RNA of Astyanax mexicanus (Mexican tetra), 1403 nucleotides long. RefSeq lists it as uncharacterized. The transcript has 2 exons. The record is from RefSeq and is a predicted model, not a curated record. NCBI's taxonomy places the organism in Eukaryota, Metazoa, Chordata, Actinopteri, Characiformes, Acestrorhamphidae.